CUGGGUUUGACAGUGCAUCGAAAACAUCCUUAAAUGGUUGUGCCUCUUUUGGGGACAUAUUCAAGGUGGUUGUUGGUUUUUCGCCGCCCGUGGCCUGGAGAUUGUGGGGUUAGUCCCCCAACGAGCCCAACCCUUCUUCCACUGUUGCCCGCAAUUCAGGUUGGGCAUUCCAUGCAGAUGGCCGGGAUCAACUCGGAGGAAGGGGGGGAUGACGUCAAGUCAUCUUGCCCCUUAUGGCCAGGGAUUCACGCAUGCUACAAUGGACGGUACAGGGAGUUGCCACAUCGUAAGGUGG
This 295-nucleotide ribosomal RNA is filed under the name uncultured bacterium. RNAcentral describes it as "partial 16S rRNA". It matches the Rfam family "Bacterial small subunit ribosomal RNA", at positions 975 to 1265 of the family's 1533-position model. The record is from RNAcentral.